GGCAGUGGGAAUCUUCCGCAAUGGACGAAAGUCUGACGGAGCAACGCCGCGUGAGUGAAGAAGGCCUUCGGGUCGUAAAACUCUGUUGCCGGGGAAGAACAAGUGCCGUUCGAACAGGGCGGCGCCUUGACGGUACCCGGCCAGAAAGCCACGGCUAACUACGUGCCAGCAGCCGCGGUAAUACGUAGGUGGCAAGCGUUGUCCGGAAUUAUUGGGCGUAAAGCGCGCGCAGGCGGCUUCUUAAGUCUGAUGUGAAAUCUUGCGGCUCAACCGCAAGCGGUCAUUGGAAACUGGGAGGCUUGAGUGCAGAAGAGGAGAGUGGAAUUCCACGUGUAGCGGUGAAAUGCGUAGAGAUGUGGAGGAACACCAGUGGCGAAGGCGGCUCUCUGGUCUGUAACUGACGCUGAGGCGCGAAAGCGUGGGGAGCAAACAGGAUUAGAUACCCUGGUAGUCCACGCCGUAAACGAUGAGUGCUAAGUGUUAGAGGGUUUCCGCCCUUUAGUGCUGCAGCUAACGCAUUAAGCACUCCGCCUGGAGACCCAA
RNAcentral lists this ribosomal RNA (543 nucleotides) under uncultured bacterium. RNAcentral describes it as "bacterial SSU rRNA". It matches the Rfam family "Bacterial small subunit ribosomal RNA", at positions 350 to 884 of the family's 1533-position model. The record is from RNAcentral.